This 76-nucleotide transfer RNA is filed under the name Blochmannia endosymbiont of Camponotus (Colobopsis) obliquus. Its description in RNAcentral is "tRNA-Thr (GGT) (tRNA-Thr-GGT-1-1)". It matches the Rfam family "tRNA". From Rfam's summary of the family: Transfer RNA (tRNA) molecules are approximately 80 nucleotides in length. The record is from Rfam by way of RNAcentral. Lineage: Bacteria; Pseudomonadati; Pseudomonadota; Gammaproteobacteria; Enterobacterales; Enterobacteriaceae.
GCUGAUAUAGCUCAGAUAUGGUUAGAGCACGCCCUUGGUAAGGGUGAGGUCGGCAGUUCGAAUCUGCCUAUCAGCA